Labrus bergylta (ballan wrasse) is the source of this 255-nucleotide non-coding RNA. The record is from RefSeq and is a predicted model, not a curated record. NCBI's taxonomy places the organism in Eukaryota, Metazoa, Chordata, Actinopteri, Labriformes, Labridae.
GGUGAAUGAUGGCAGCACUACGUUGGAGGACCGCCUUGGUGCUGUGGCCGACCUGCAGCUGGCCAUACGCAGCCGCAAGCUUCAGGACGACAUCAUGGUGAUUGCAGGAGACAUGCUGUGUGCAGACCAGAACUUUGACAUCGCUCAAGUUAUCCGUUUCUUCAGGUCACAGACUGGAGAGCUGAUGAUCUACUACGAGCUGGAGGAAAGUGAGAAACGCAGCUCCAGAGGCAUUGUGGAAGUCUGCCCUGAACA